Molecule: ribosomal RNA, 279 nt
Filed under: uncultured bacterium
Lineage: Bacteria
Description: partial 16S ribosomal RNA
Rfam family: Bacterial small subunit ribosomal RNA
Source: RNAcentral
UGCCAGCCGCCGCGGUAAUACGGAGGGUCCAAGCGUUAAUCGGAAUUACUGGGCGUAAAGCGCGCGUAGGCGGCUUAGUCAGUCGGAUGUGAAAGCCCCGGGCUUAACCUGGGAAUUGCAUUCGAUACUGCUGAGCUAGAGUAUGGGAGAGGGAAGUGGAAUUUCAGGUGUAGCGGUGAAAUGCGUAGAUAUCUGAAGGAACACCAGUGGCGAAGGCGACUUCCUGGCCCAAAACUGACGCUCAUGUGCGAAAGUGUGGGUAGCGAGCAGGAUUAGAUA